RNAcentral lists this ribosomal RNA (253 nucleotides) under uncultured bacterium. RNAcentral's name for it is "partial 16S ribosomal RNA". It matches the Rfam family "Bacterial small subunit ribosomal RNA", at positions 524 to 776 of the family's 1533-position model. The record is from RNAcentral.
UACGUAUGGUGCAAGCGUUAUCCGGAUUUACUGGGUGUAAGGGGAGCGUAGGCGGCGCGUUAAGUCUGAUGUGAAAACCCGAGGCUCAACCACGGGAGUGCAUUGGAAACUGGCGGGCUGGAGUGCCGGAGAGGUAAGCGGAAUUCCUAGUGUAGCGGUGAAAUGCGUAGAUAUUAGGAGGAACACCAGUGGCGAAGGCGGCUUACUGGACGGCAACUGACGCUGAGGCUCGAAAGCGUGGGGAGCAAACAGG